UCCCUUCCCGCGAUCCCUGGCCUCACCCUGAGUGGAAGGCUCUGUAAAACAUCGAGAAAAAGAGGGCAUGAGAACUAUAAUUUAUAGUUCCCAGUGGGCAAUUACUGACCUCAGCUCAAUGCACCACUAGGCCCCAAAAGAAAAGGGUAAGUACAAUAAUAAUAGCAAUAAAUAGCGAACACGAAAACUGCUGAAAGAAAGCAUGAAUGAAAUGCUAGGCUACUAUGUCUCCAAUAAGCAUGAUGUCAAGGUAAUGUACAUCUACGCUAUCAUAAGGUAAUAUAUCCGAUGCAUACUAAUAUGUCUCAACAUAAUAAGCAAGUAAACCUCACGAUGCCAUAUGUCAAUGCAUAAGGGUAAACUCUAUCCAAACAACCGAGUAUACUACGAUGCAAUAAUGAAACCGGCAAGUAUACUAAAUGUACCAAUGCUAUAUCAUAAGCGUGUCCAAGUAAUCCAACUACUAAUCCUAUCUAGUAGUGAUUGUUCAUACUCAACACCGUGUCGAUUUCCAUUUCCAAUUAAGGACCUACCCAAGGUAGUCCAGCUUGUGCCGCCUAAGUGCCUGUGGUAGCCCAACAUCCCUACUCUUGGAAUGUGUCUGUCCCACUCGACCCCGUAGGCUUCUCAAUACCGCACGAGCGAACAUAGGUCGCGUAGGCUAACUCCGGAGUGCCGGCUUGUAGGGAGCGACCCUCACAAGCAUGUGCGAAUGAGCACAAAUGGCAAACAAGCGUAGUCGAUGGCUCAAGUAUCCAACCCUCAUGUCUCUAACAUGGUAUAGUCACUAGCAUCUCGAAGAUCUAGUUCUAAGUCACAAGUGAAGUCCCAACCUUCUCUAGGUCUAGUGCCCCUUUAUGACACUUAGACAUUUAAUAAUUAAGCAUGUUUCACAUUCCUCAAUGGCCCUAUCCACUAGGUUCACACAUGUCCCGAGCUCAAUGCCGCUUGAUGACAUUAGCUCUCUAGUUCACAUACAUUCUAGUUCAAUAUCUUUAUAUGGC
Molecule: long non-coding RNA, 1004 nt
Filed under: Ananas comosus (pineapple)
Lineage: Eukaryota; Viridiplantae; Streptophyta; Magnoliopsida; Poales; Bromeliaceae
Description: long non-coding RNA (ACOM_LNC040937)
Source: RNAcentral